AGAUGAUGUGUUGUUGCCAUGGUAAUCCUGCUCAGUACGAGAGGAACCUGUCAUGGUUCAGACAUUUGGUGUAUGUGCUUGGCUGAGGAGCCAAUGGGGCGAAGCUACCAUCUGUGGGAUUAUGACUGAACGCCUCUAAGUCAGAAUCCCGCCCAGGCGGAACGAUACGGCAGCGCCGAAGGAGCCUCGGUUGGCCUCGGAUAGCCGGUCCCCCGCUCGUCCCCGCCGGCCCGGCCCGGGGCCCGGCCCUCGCGGGGUCGUCGCCCCACCACCGCGCGUCGGGACCGGGGUCCGGUGCGGAGAGCCUCUCGUCCCGGGAAACGGGGUGCGGCCGGAAAGGGCGCCGCCCCCACGCCCGUCGCGCAACGCACGUUCGUGUGGAACCUGGCGCUAAACCAUUCGUAGACGACCUGCUUCUGGGUCGGGGUUUCGUACGUAGCAGAGCAGCUCCCUCGCUGCGAUCUAUUGAAAGUCAGCCCUCGACACAAGGGUUUGU
RNAcentral lists this non-coding RNA (496 nucleotides) under Dipodomys ordii (Ord's kangaroo rat). RNAcentral's name for it is "Eukaryotic large subunit ribosomal RNA". It matches the Rfam family "Eukaryotic large subunit ribosomal RNA", at positions 2998 to 3401 of the family's 3401-position model. Lineage: Eukaryota; Metazoa; Chordata; Mammalia; Rodentia; Heteromyidae. The record is from Rfam by way of RNAcentral.